CUUUAUUUCUCUGCAAGCAUCACUAAAUUCUGCUGUCAUCAAGAGCAGAUAUAUAGUAGUUGACUCAGUAAGUGUAAAUGCUCAGAAUAAGUUAAAUAUGUGGUUACAGUUUUUGUUUAACAUCCAGGUACAGCUAUGGAUGCACUUAAUAGCAUGCAGAAUUUCUUACGGGGUCGUCCUAAAACCUUCAAGUCUCUGGAGAAUGCUAUUGAAUGGAGUGUGAAGAGUGGCCAGAUUCGAAAUCUGGAGUCUGCCCGUGUCUCAAUGGUUGGCCAAGUCAAACAGUGUGAAGGAAUUACAAGUCCAGAAGGCUCAAAAUCUAUAGUGGAAGGAAUCAUAGAGGAAGAAGAAGAAGAUGAGGAAGGAAGUGAGUCUAUAAGCAAGAGGAAAAAGGAAGAUGACAUGGAGACCAAGAAAGACCAUCCAUACACCUGGAGAAUUGAACUGGCAAAAACAGAAAAAUACUGGGACGGCUGGUUCCGAGGCUUAUCCAAUCUCUUUCUUAGUUGUCCCAUUCCUAAAUUGCUGCUCUUGGCUGGUGUUGAUAGAUUGGAUAAAGAUCUGACCAUUGGCCAGAUGCAAGGGAAGUUCCAGAUGCAGGUCCUACCCCAGUGUGGCCAUGCAGUCCAUGAGGAUGCCCCUGACAAGGUAGCUGAAGCUGUUGCCACUUUCCUGAUCCGGCACAGGUUUGCAGAACCCAUCGGUGGAUUCCAGUGUGUGUUUCCUGGCUGUUAGUGACCUGCUGUCCACCCCUCCUCAACAUCGAGCUCUGUUGUAAAUACGUCGCACCAGAGGCCACUGUGAUGCCACUGUCUCCUCUCCAUCCCGCCCAGCCAUGUGACACUGGCUCCCUGUAGACGGGCACCCCGAGAUGUACCAACCUUUUCAUGUAUUCUGCCAAAAGCAUUGUUUUCCAGGGCCCUUGACCAACAUUGGCUUCCCCAGUCCAGGGCUCCCCUGCUCCUUUCCCUUCCCUGUACUGGGGUAGCUCCUGCCUGCUCUCCCUGCGUUGCCUAGGGUAAAGCCUCCAGAUUUGCCAUACUGAGCCCCUCUUCCUAGCAUCAGGCGAUACAUCUGAGUUCAAAUGUCUUCCCAGGCUCAGGGACCUCCAUUCCUUGAGAUUGUCUUGGCAUGGCCCAGCCCUGCCUCAUGGGAUGGACAAUGCAUGGGGUGGUCUUUAUUUUUCCCUUUCAAAUAAAACACUAGUCAGGUACCGUUUUAUCCCAGUCGUACUCUUCUAGGUUUGGAAGACCCAGAGAGGCCAAGAUCCCAUCCUUAGCCAUAGCGAGCGGUGGUGGUGGAUAGCAUCACAAGAAACGAGCCUGAAAAUCAGGUCCAGCCAGUCCAAGCACAUGGCCUCCCAUCUGGGAGAGCCCACUGUCCCACUCCCACAUGUCUGGGCACCUGCCCUGGGCUGAGGCCAGGCUGCUCCAGGGGCCUCCUGAGCCCUCACCUGCCACAGAGCAACCCAGGUUAAAUACAGCCCAUGCACAAAGCCACAGGCCAAAGCCUAUGGAAUUGUUUUUAAUCAUCAAAUUUAACCAUUUUCAUAACUGGUUCCUGGAGGUGUGCAGUGCCCCCUUGCCUCUUCAAACCUACAGCUUCUCUUUGCCAUUUGUGGAUUUCACAUCACUCCACACAGAAACAUUACAGCCUGGCAUCCCCAGUCUUUGCCUUCUUCCAGCUGCCUCGACACAGCACUGUGGCCUGUCCCUGUUGCCCAGGCACGCCAUUUCCAAGGGCAGGAAGGGGCAGUGUCCUGAAGCCCAUCUUUUCUGUGACUGUCUUAGGUGAUGUGUAGCCCCCUCCACCUUUCCACUCAACAACCUCCCACCCCUGUCCUGCUGCAUGGUCCGGAGUCUGGGACCUACUUUGUUUUUUGUUAUUUAUGACCUUGUUUAAAGAAAAUAAAUAUCUCCCAACCUUUA
RNAcentral lists this small RNA (1928 nucleotides) under Pan troglodytes (chimpanzee). Its description in RNAcentral is "retained intron". Lineage: Eukaryota; Metazoa; Chordata; Mammalia; Primates; Hominidae. The record is from RNAcentral.